This 162-nucleotide ribosomal RNA is filed under the name Opuntia howeyi. RNAcentral's name for it is "5.8S ribosomal RNA". It matches the Rfam family "5.8S ribosomal RNA". Rfam says of the family: 5.8S ribosomal RNA (5.8S rRNA) is a component of the large subunit of the eukaryotic ribosome. It is transcribed by RNA polymerase I as part of the 45S precursor that also contains 18S and 28S rRNA. The record is from RNAcentral. Lineage: Eukaryota; Viridiplantae; Streptophyta; Magnoliopsida; Caryophyllales; Cactaceae.
UAACGACUCUCGGCAACGGAUAUCUCGGCUCUGGCAUCGAUGAAGAACGUAGCGAAAUGCGAUACUUGGUGUGAAUUGCAGAAUCCCGUGAACCAUCGAGUCUUUGAACGCAAGUUGCGCCCGAAGCCUUCCGGCCGAGGGCACGUCUGCCUGGGCGUCACG